AUCCUAGCCGUAACGAUGUCAACUAGCUGUGGGAGGUAUCGACCCCUCCCGUGGCGACGCUAACGCAUUAAGUUGACCGCCUGGGGAGUACGGCCGCAAGGUUAAAACUCAAAGGAAUUGACGGGGCCCGCACAAGCGGUGGAGCAUGUGGUUUAAUUCGACGCUACGCGAAGAACCUUACCUGGGCUCGAACGACUGGUAGUAGUCCGGUAGAAAUACUGGGCGACCCGCAAGGGAGCCAGCCGAGGUGCUGCAUGGUUGUCGU
RNAcentral lists this ribosomal RNA (265 nucleotides) under uncultured bacterium. RNAcentral's name for it is "partial 16S ribosomal RNA". It matches the Rfam family "Bacterial small subunit ribosomal RNA", at positions 793 to 1055 of the family's 1533-position model. The record is from RNAcentral.